CGGCGGACGGGUGAGUAACACGUGGAUAACCUACCUAUAAGACUGGGAUAACUUCGGGAAACCGGAGCUAAUACCGGAUAAUAUAUUGAACCGCAUGGUUCAACAGUGAAAGACGGUUUUGCUGUCACUUAUAGAUGGAUCCGCGCCGCAUUAGCUAGUUGGUAAGGUAACGGCUUACCAAGGCGACGAUGCGUAGCCGAACUGAGAGGGUGAUCGGCCACACUGGAACUGAGACACGGUCCAG
This 244-nucleotide ribosomal RNA is filed under the name uncultured Staphylococcus sp. RNAcentral describes it as "partial 16S ribosomal RNA". It matches the Rfam family "Bacterial small subunit ribosomal RNA", at positions 96 to 334 of the family's 1533-position model. Lineage: Bacteria; Bacillati; Bacillota; Bacilli; Caryophanales; Staphylococcaceae. The record is from RNAcentral.